UCUAGCAUAUGCAUCGUACGAACUCAAUAACUCGUCUAAUAGUUGACGUCGAACAUAGAGCCAGUCAUUCUUGCCAUACCCAAGACAAACAGAUAUUGCUCGAAAUCCACAGUUUCCAUCCCCCUCUACAUCUUGUAUAUGUGUGAUGUAAGGAUGAAACAUCACUUGAAUUUCAUCUAUUAGUCGAUGAUUGUAGCAUGAUUGAGGCUCUUCCUUCAAUUCUGGAAUUUCAUUCAAGUCUGGCUCUUCUUUCAAGUCUGGAAUUGUGGUUAUGUAUAAACUAUGUCUUGCCGGUUCCCUAUUGUUCAACUCAACAAAUUUUGGCAUGGGUGAAAAGUUGCGUCUUCUAGGAGCUUGAUUGACAGAAUCAGUUUGUUUUUGUUUUUGUUUCUUCAAACUUGGUCGUCCACUAUAUUUUUUUUGAAUUGCGGGUUCUCUAAUGUGUGUGUUACUAGGCUGGAAUAUAUGUAGUAGCUUUCUCAUCAUGCUUUUUUUCACAGCUUCCUGAAGUUGGCUUCCCCCUUCACCGCCCACCGCCUUUCUCCAUCUUUUAUCUUAUGGUUCCAUUUUCCGGCUUUCUGGAUAGGCCAAACUAUUCCAUCGAUGGUUUUGCUAUCCUAAGACUACUCUAAAUCCUUAUUAGUUCAUGUACACCUCAAUUUCUUCAAUUUCAUGAAGAGGCAGGGGAAGUAAGAGAGCAUCAUGAGGAAGGAGGUAGCAAGAAGAGUUGGAAUUCAAACUCGGGACCUCUAAAGCAUUAGUUCAACAGGAUGAACAGAGCAUCUUGGCCAUUUUGCUGUGAAAAUCAUCUAAAAAUGCAACAAUUGAAGAAAACUCAGAAGUCGACUUCAUAUUUUGUCUUUUGCAUUAAAAAAAGUAACAUCAAACCUUUUUUUUCUGCGGGAGAAGAAUAUCACAUGGGCGGAUAUCUUUGAGGAGAUACAUGACCGUGUGCGUGCAGAAACUUAGAAGACAACUAUUUUACAGCAUCAGAGUUAUAUACAAGGCAUAGAAGAAAAGAUGUUGAAUUCGGUGGUAGUUUUCACAAAGGUAUUUGAACAUUUAACCAAGAGUGGCGAAUGUGAAAUGACAACUCUGUCCCUGUUGGAAACUUUAAGGUUGAGCCGCCCGAGUUGUUCUAAGGGCGUGGGGAGCAUUUGAAAGUUAAACCACAAAUAGGAAUGCUGAAAAGUCGUAUCCGCCCAUGUGAUAUCUCAAUAAAUAUUGGCAAUGCUUGCAUGAUUGGGGACAAUCCUUCGAAUGAUGUCAAGGCCGCAAGAUAAAUUUGUUUUAUUACUUUUUAAUUUUUAUUAAAUUGAAUUCUAAUUUUAUAUAAACAUUUGUUUUCCCUUUUUAUUUAUAUAUUUCAGGCGAGACAUCCAUGUUUUUCAAUUUUGACAAGGAUAUGUGUUUUUAGAGGAAGAGAGAACCGCACAGAUUAUCCUGUUUAUCGGGUCAAGUAGCAGAGUUUAUGUUGUCCGGAUUAAACGCAAUGAGCUUAUAUGUGCAAGAAUCCAGCAUAAUCCGGCUUCCGGGUUAUACCCGAUUAUAAAGGCUUGGCCAUUUCGAGGGUGGGCAAGGAGCUACGUUUCUUUUUUUUUUUAUUAUUAUUUAUCUAGCGUAAGUAGAACUAACGUAAGUGUAAUCUUCCGAGAAGAGAAGAAUAUUACCGAUCUAAAUAUUAUACUCCUAAGCUUUUCAAGGUAAGAAAAUUUGUUAUAAUUCUAAUAAUGUGAAUCUGGUCAUUAAAUCUCCGUAUAGGGAGAUUGUUGUGCUCAUUGUCGGUCAUUACAAGGUUUUCCAAUGAACCUUAAACAAAAUAUGCUUAUUUUUUUGUAGUUUGGCUGCAGAAACAAUACAAUUUCAUAAAGAUUAUUGAGCAUCUGUUCAGGAAGACAAGAUUUAUCUUCAGCUAGAGGCAUUGUUUCUGCAGCCAAACUACCACGAAACAAAUAUGAUUUAAGUUGUAUAGGGGUAGAAUUGUCAUUUGGUGCUUCUCCAUUGUCGCAAGAAAAGAUUGUAAAAGCGGAUUCGCAUCAUGUAGGCAGGUAAGAUUAGAAUAUACUGUACUAUCUUUGUAAUUGAAUUUUAUAUUUUUAAUGAAUACUUUUUUUGGAAGAAAGGGCCAUAAACCUUUAUCAGAUAUAAAUGGAUCCUUUCCUGAAAGCCUUAGAGGUUUAACUGAUAGGAAUCUGAAUGGCAACUCACUAUUAUGAAGAGUCCCACUUACAUGAAGUUUGCUGUGAAAGAGCAACAACGUCGUCCCCAUCUGAAUGAGCAACAACGUCGCCUCAUCUGCCGGAGCACAUCAACUGCCGAAGAUCGAUGCCACCGGAGCACACCAGAGCGUCGCCAACACAAAAUACACCAUCCAUCGAUCUGUCUCAUUAAAUGGUUUCUCUUUUCCGGCAGCGAAGAUCUAGGCGAUGCUCGCGUCGGCGAUGAUUACCAUCUCUCUCUCUCUCUCUCUCUCUCUCUCUCUCUCUCUCUCUCUCUCUCUCUCUCUCUCUCUCGACGUUUUGUACUUUUCUGGCGGCAGUAUCGCUAGCCGUCGGCGAUGAUGACCGUGGUUGGACUGAAAUAACCAAAAUUAUAUUUUAAAUCUUGAAAUAAUAGGCAAAGUUAGAAAUUUUACCUUAUAUGUAUUAGAUGGUUAGAUUAAUGUUGAUCUAUCUUUUUAUAAUAAAAUAUAAAUUGUUAUUAGUUA
This is a non-coding RNA of Lactuca sativa (garden lettuce), 2707 nucleotides long. The record is from RefSeq and is a predicted model, not a curated record. NCBI's taxonomy places the organism in Eukaryota, Viridiplantae, Streptophyta, Magnoliopsida, Asterales, Asteraceae.